RNAcentral lists this ribosomal RNA (432 nucleotides) under uncultured bacterium. RNAcentral's name for it is "partial 16S ribosomal RNA". It matches the Rfam family "Bacterial small subunit ribosomal RNA", at positions 29 to 506 of the family's 1533-position model. The record is from RNAcentral.
AACGAACGCUGGCGGCAUGCCUAACACAUGCAAGUCGAACGAGACCUUCGGGUCUAGUGGCGCACGGGUGCGUAACGCGUGGGAACCUGCCCUUAGGUUCGGAAUAACCCCCCGAAAGGGGUGCUAAUACCGGAUAAUGUCUUCGGACCAAAGAUUUAUCGCCUUUGGAUGGGCCCGCGUUGGAUUAGCUAGUUGGUAGGGUAAAAGCCUACCAAGGCGACGAUCCAUAGCUGGUCUGAGAGGAUGAUCAGCCACACUGGGACUGAGACACGGCCCAGACUCCUACGGGAGGCAGCAGUGGGGAAUAUUGGACAAUGGGCGAAAGCCUGAUCCAGCAAUGCCGCGUGAGUGAUGAAGGCCUUAGGGUUGUAAAGCUCUUUUACCCGGGAUGAUAAUGACAGUACCGGGAGAAUAAGCUCCGGCGAACUCCGU